UUAUUAGUUUGUUUCCUUCUCACCCAAAUGAAUCCCCAAAACCCCGGCUUAAAACCCUAAUUUAACACUCAAAUUAACCCAAAUUCUUUACAAAUCCUUGAAAAUUCUCAAAACUCCUGCUCUACAAUCAUCAUCGUGUUUAAAACUCCACUACAUUGCAGCGUUUCCGCUCCACAGAUUACUCCGUUUCAACUGAUUUCGAGCUGCAAGCUCAGUGCAAGUUACAUUAAGUGAUCUGAACAGGAUUACGAGCUGCUGAGUACCCGACCUGAGGCACUAUCACCGCCACGUCAUCGAUGAUUACCGAGCUACGAAGAAACUCCAACAUCCUUCUAUGUAAACUCCUUCACUCUACUCGAAAAACAAUCUCCCCUCCUCACUCCAAUUGUCAUAUACGAACUUAUGUCGAGGUGUACAUGAAACGGAAAAAAGAUCCAUACUUCGACUCUAUCGAUUCCAUUCAUAAGUCCCUCGAACUGAAGCCCGUCAUUGCUCUCAAAAACUUCUUCAUAUCGUCCUCCUCUUCUCCGCACGAUAAUUAUUCUAUUCCAAUCUCGUCCGUCUCCAAAAAAGGACCGGAAUUCGGCUUAAGCAUCAGAGUUUUACGGUUCUUGAGGAACUACCCUUCCUUCUUCGAGGAGUUCGAGGGCCCACUUUACAAUUUACCCUGGUUUAGACUGACCCAAAAAGCGGUCGAGCUCGAUAAAGAGGAAAGAUUGGUCUCCGAACAAUUUAGAGACGAUAUAGUCACUAGGUUAAAGAAGUUUAUAUUGAUGAGUGGCACAAGAAAGAUGCUUCCUUUGAAGAUAAUCAAGGGCUUUCGUUGGUAUCUAGGCUUGCCCGAUGAGUUUUUCAAGGACCCGUUGGAUUAUGUUAAAGGAUGCGGGCGUUUCGAAAUUGUGGAUAUAGAAGAUGGGUUGAAAGGGUUGUCUGUUUUCGAAGAGUCUAAUAAUGGAAAUAAACGUAAAAUAUUUUCAACUAUACAGAAGAAUGCGAUGAAUAGUGGAGUAUAUAGUGGGGGUGAAAACGAGGCGAUUGCGUUUCCUCUGUUUCCGUCUAAGGGGCUGAGAUUAAAGCAGAAGAUAAAAGAUUGGCUGGUUGAAUUUCAAAAGCUUCCUUAUAUGUCCCCUUAUGAAGAUUCCUCGUGUUUGAAUCCAGACAGUGAUGUAUCGGAGAAACGGUUAGUGGGUUUGCUGCACGAGGUGUUGUCGCUGUUUGUGGAGCAUGCUGCUGAGAGAAAGUCCUUUAUUUGUCUGAAAAAAUACUUGGGUUUGCCUCAAAAGGUUCACAAAUGUUUUGAGAGGCACCCUCAUAUUUUUUAUCUGUCGAUGAAGAAUAAUACGUGUACGGCUAUUUUGAAAGAAGCGUACUGCGAUGAGGUGGCUGUUGAGCCGCAUCCGCUGUCGAAUGUGAGGAAGAAGUAUAUUGAUCUGAUGAAGGAAUCGGUUGUUAUUUUGAGGAGUAAGAGGGGGAGUAAUAGUAGGGCUAUUAAUCAAGAAAAUGCCGACUCGAACGAUUUGGGUGGUGUAAAUGAUCGAACGUUUCAACUUGAAGCUAAUGUGCCAAUCGAUCAAGAUUGAUAUUAUCGAUCUCGUAAUCGAUCCGUUUGAAGUUGUGGAAAGUUGAUAUUUUUGCCUAGUACGAACGAGCUUGCUGUUGUUGGAUUUCACUAUCGUAUCUCGUGCUUCUAAUCACGAUUCAUUCUAAUAUCAACUGUAAAUUUUUCAUGGGGUUGGUGUCUCUUGAAAGAUGUCUCGGACGAGACAACAAAAAAAAUGGUCGGGUGAAGUCGAACAAACAGGUCACCUUCUUAACUAUGUCUACUGCACUUAGGUCUAAAUAUGUAUUUAUUCAAGUUUGGUGUUAGAAAAAAUGUUAUUCACUUGUAAAUAUGCUUUCAAGAUACCUGAAUUAAAAUCUUAGAAAGAAAAUUGGCCUUAUAAAUGAUCUUGCAUCACACGGGCACAGACAAAUACAGAUACAGACAUGUGGAAAAUACUAGUGUCCAUUUGUUUUCAAUUGGGUAAAUUAC
This is a non-coding RNA of Erythranthe guttata (spotted monkey flower), 2032 nucleotides long. NCBI's taxonomy places the organism in Eukaryota, Viridiplantae, Streptophyta, Magnoliopsida, Lamiales, Phrymaceae. The record is from RefSeq and is a predicted model, not a curated record.